RNAcentral lists this ribosomal RNA (373 nucleotides) under uncultured organism. RNAcentral's name for it is "partial 16S ribosomal RNA". It matches the Rfam family "Bacterial small subunit ribosomal RNA", at positions 526 to 896 of the family's 1533-position model. The record is from RNAcentral.
GGAGGGGUGCAAGCGUUGUUCGGAAUUAUUGGGCGUAAAGCGGGUGUAGGGCGGUGAGCUAAGUCCGAUGUGAAAGCCCGGGGCUUAACCCCGGAAGUGCAUUGGAUACUGGUUCACUAGAGGGUGAGAGAGGGAAGCGGAAUUCCUGGUGUAGGGGUGAAAUCCGUAGAUAUCAGGAGGAACAUCAGAGGCGAAGGCGGCUUCCUGGCUCACUUCUGACGCUGAGAUCCGAAAGCGUGGGGAGCAAACAGGAUUAGAUACCCUGGUAGUCCACGCCCUAAACGAUGGAUACUAGUCGUUGGAGUACCUAAUUGCUUCAGUGACGUAGCUAACGCGUUAAGUAUCCCGCCUGGGGAGUACGGUCGCAAGAUUA